Betta splendens (Siamese fighting fish) is the source of this 80-nucleotide small nucleolar RNA. Ensembl annotates it as small nucleolar RNA SNORD72. NCBI's taxonomy places the organism in Eukaryota, Metazoa, Chordata, Actinopteri, Anabantiformes, Osphronemidae. The record is from Ensembl.
GUCUUGUCUGUGAUGUACUUAAACACAAAUGUCUGAACAAAUGAGAUCCUGUGAUUCUUCCUACUUUACUGAGACAAGAC